Diachasmimorpha longicaudata is the source of this 690-nucleotide long non-coding RNA. RefSeq lists it as uncharacterized. The transcript has 2 exons. Lineage: Eukaryota; Metazoa; Arthropoda; Insecta; Hymenoptera; Braconidae. The record is from RefSeq and is a predicted model, not a curated record.
GGGGUCGCUGGGAAAUACAAGUUUUUUUCUCUUUAUUACGGUAAAAACACAAGUUUUUUUAUUAAUAAUGUCAAAAAUUCGUGAUACACACACGUAUCGACAAAAGUAUUCGCUUUUUAUGAGUGUUUUGUGCGGAUAAAUCAAGAAAAUAAAUCAGUGAGCGAAGAUCAGACCGGUCACGCGUCGAUUUCCGAUUCCACUGCUCUCGUGGUGGGCUCAUGGGAUUUCCUUUUUUCACUAUCGGAUGCCAGGACGCCGUUGGUUGGACACACUGCCAUUACUGGUGCAAAUCAGGUUAGACUAGGACCACUGCUGUUCAAGAUUGGCAGAAAUUAUUGUGCUACUUGCCAGCUGACAGAAACAAGCGAAAACUACCAAGUGGGUGAAAAUGUUAAAGUGCAUCUACAAAUUCAAUAAGCUAGGGAAACAUUUUUCGUGAAUUUGAAAAGUCCAGUGAAAUUCCUAGUUUUCAUUUCACUUCCAAAUUUAGUUGGACUAUUCAGGGGCCCAUUAAAAAUUGAAAUAAGUAAAAUUGUUAGCCAGUAUAUGAGAUUAGAGGGGAAAUAUCGCCAAAUUUCUUGGGUAAGUAAAAAUUCAUCGUGAGUGAUAUUAAAUAUUCUGGUUUUCUGGAAAUUCUAGUCGCCAAGUGAAUAGUGAUAUGCAUGUGAUAAUUUUACUGAUAUAUUUUAA